GGGAUUGAGGCUCAGUGGUAGAGCACUCACCUAGCAUGUGUGAGGCCCUGGGUUCGAUCCUCAGCACCA
This 69-nucleotide transfer RNA is filed under the name Ictidomys tridecemlineatus (thirteen-lined ground squirrel). Its description in RNAcentral is "Spermophilus tridecemlineatus (thirteen-lined ground squirrel) tRNA". It matches the Rfam family "tRNA". Rfam says of the family: Transfer RNA (tRNA) molecules are approximately 80 nucleotides in length. Lineage: Eukaryota; Metazoa; Chordata; Mammalia; Rodentia; Sciuridae. The record is from Rfam by way of RNAcentral.